AGAGUUUGAUCAUGGCUCAGAACGAACGCUGGCGGCAGGCCUCAAACAUGCAAGUCUAGGGGGUGUAGCAAUACAUCACCGGCGGACGGGUGCGUAACACGUGGGAAUAUACCUUUUGGUUCGGAACAACGCAGGGAAACUUGCGCUAAUACCGAAUGUGCCCUUACGGGGAAAGAUUUAUCGCCAAAGGAUUAGCCCGCGUAGGAUUAGCUAGUUGGUGAGGUAAUGGCUCACCAAGGCUCCGAUCCUUAGCUGUUCUGAGAGGAAGAUCAGCCACACUGGGACUGAGACACGGCCCAGACUCCUACGGGAGGCAGCAGUUGGGAAUCUUGGACAAUGGGGGAAACCCUGAUCCAGCCAUGCCGCGUGAGUGAUGAAGGCCUUCGGGUUGUAAAACUCUUUCGACGGGGACGAUAAUGACGGUACCCGUAGAAGAAGCUCCGGCUAACUUCGUGCCAGCAGCCGCGGUAAUACGAAGGGGGCUAGCGUUGUUCGGAAUUACUGGGCGUAAAGCGCGCGCAGGCGGUUUUUCAAGUCAGUGGUGAAAGCCCGGAGCUCAACUCCGGAACUGCCAUUGAAACUGUGAAACUUGAGGAUGAGAGAGGUGAGUGGAAUUCCCAGUGUAGAGGUGAAAUUCGUAGAUAUUGGGAAGAACACCGGUGGCGAAGGCGGCUCACUGGCUCAUUACUGACGCUCAGGCGCGACAGCGUGGGGAUCAAACAGGAUUAGAUACCCUAGUAGUCC
This 744-nucleotide ribosomal RNA is filed under the name uncultured bacterium. Its description in RNAcentral is "bacterial SSU rRNA". It matches the Rfam family "Bacterial small subunit ribosomal RNA", at positions 8 to 796 of the family's 1533-position model. The record is from RNAcentral.